UGGAGGGAGAAGGAGUGGGUGACUGCUGCGUCCAGUGACCCGAGCUUUACCCUGCAUCUUCUCAGCCCUGGAAGUCAGCAGCUCCUGAGUGAGACCCAGGCUGGCUCAGGGCCGUCGGCUGGCCAGACUGGUUCCUGCAGAAGUCAAAGUCGAGUGCCCCAAGGCCUUCAUAUACUGCCAGGUGAGGAAACCCCAAGUCUGUGGUGAGAGGAGACCUGUUGAGGACAGAGUCAAAGUGCCUGUGUGGACAGGAGCUGGUGCCAAAGCUCACAGUUCUGGAAAAUCCCAAGUCAGAAAGUGCACCUCCUCUCCAAGGACUCCCAGGAAACCUAGCAUCAUCUAACGGACCUUGUUUAAUGGCGUCCAUUGUCUGUUGCCCUCACUGGAACGUGAGUUCCAUGAUGGAAGGGGUUUUCCGGAACAUCAGUUGGCACCUGGUCCUCAGGAAGCACUCCGUGGAAACUGUUGUGUGAGCAGUCACGUGCGAGGUCCUUGCCUUACCUCCAGACCUCC
Molecule: long non-coding RNA, 513 nt
Organism: Bos taurus (domestic cattle)
Lineage: Eukaryota; Metazoa; Chordata; Mammalia; Artiodactyla; Bovidae
Source: Ensembl